The sequence is a ribosomal RNA, 1188 nucleotides long. It matches the Rfam family "Bacterial small subunit ribosomal RNA", at positions 147 to 1346 of the family's 1533-position model.
GCCUGGGAAACUGGUUUUAAUCCCGGAUAGGAGCGUCCACCGCAUGGUGGGUGUUGGAACGAUUUAUCGGUUUUGGAUGGACUCGCGGCCCUAUCAGCUUGUUGGUGAGGUAAUGGCUCACCAAGGCGACGACGGGUAGCCGGCCUGAGAGGGUGACCGGCCACACUGGGACUGAGACACGGCCCAGACUCCUACGGGAGGCAGCAGUGGGGAAUAUUGCACAAUGGGCGAAAGCCUGAUGCAGCGACGCCGCGUGAGGGAUGACGGCCUUCGGGUUGUAAACCUCUUUCAGUAGGGAAGAAGCGAAAGUGACGGUACCUGCAGAAGAAGCACCGGCUAACUACGUGCCAGCAGCCGCGGUAAUACGUAGGGUGCGAGCGUUAUCCGGAAUUAUUGGGCGUAAAGAGCUCGUAGGCGGUUUGUCGCGUCUGUCGUGAAAGUCCGGGGCUUAACCCCGGAUCUGCGGUGGGUACGGGCAGACUAGAGUGCAGUAGGGGAGACUGGAAUUCCUGGUGUAGCGGUGGAAUGCGCAGAUAUCAGGAGGAACACCGAUGGCGAAGGCAGGUCUCUGGGCUGUAACUGACGCUGAGGAGCGAAAGCAUGGGGAGCGAACAGGAUUAGAUACCCUGGUAGUCCAUGCCGUAAACGUUGGGCACUAGGUGUGGGGACCAUUCCACGGUUUCCGCGCCGCAGCUAACGCAUUAAGUGCCCCGCCUGGGGAGUACGGCCGCAAGGCUAAAACUCAAAGGAAUUGACGGGGGCCCGCACAAGCGGCGGAGCAUGCGGAUUAAUUCGAUGCAACGCGAAGAACCUUACCAAGGCUUGACAUGUUCUCGAUCGCCGUAGAGAUACGGUUUCCCCUUUGGGGCGGGUUCACAGGUGGUGCAUGGUUGUCGUCAGCUCGUGUCGUGAGAUGUUGGGUUAAGUCCCGCAACGAGCGCAACCCUCGUUCCAUGUUGCCAGCACGUAAUGGUGGGGACUCAUGGGAGACUGCCGGGGUCAACUCGGAGGAAGGUGAGGACGACGUCAAAUCAUCAUGCCCCUUAUGUCUUGGGCUUCACGCAUGCUACAAUGGCCGGUACAAUGGGUUGCGAUACUGUGAGGUGGAGCUAAUCCCAAAAAGCCGGUCUCAGUUCGGAUUGGGGUCUGCAACUCGACCCCAUGAAGUCGGAGUCGCUAGUAAUCGCA